UACGAAGGGUGCAAACGUUGCUCGGAAUUAUUGGGCGUAAAGCGCACGUAGGCGGCUUUUCAAGUCGGAUGUGAAAUCCCUCGGCUUAACCAAGGAAGUGCAUCCGAAACUGGAAGGCUUGAGUACUUAAGAGGAUCGCGGAAUUCCCGGUGUAGAGGUGAAAUUCGUAGAUAUCGGGAUGAACACCAGUGGCGAAGGCGGCGAUCUGGGAAGAUACUGACGCUGAGGUGCGAAAGCGUGGGGAGCAAACAGG
RNAcentral lists this ribosomal RNA (253 nucleotides) under uncultured bacterium. RNAcentral's name for it is "partial 16S ribosomal RNA". It matches the Rfam family "Bacterial small subunit ribosomal RNA", at positions 524 to 776 of the family's 1533-position model. The record is from RNAcentral.